UACGUAGGUGGCAAGCGUUGUCCGGAUUUAUUGGGUUUAAAGGGUGCGUAGGCGGUUUUUUAAGUCAGUGCUGAAAUACUCCAGCUUAACUGGAGGGGUGGCAUUGAUACUGGAAGACUUGAGUACAGAUGAGGUAGGCGGAAUUGACGGUGUAGCGGUGAAAUGCAUAGAUAUCGUCAAGAACACCGAUAGCGAAGGCAGCUUACUGGGCUGUAACUGACGCUGAUGCACGAAAGUGUGGGGAUCAAACAGG
RNAcentral lists this ribosomal RNA (253 nucleotides) under uncultured bacterium. Its description in RNAcentral is "partial 16S ribosomal RNA". It matches the Rfam family "Bacterial small subunit ribosomal RNA", at positions 524 to 776 of the family's 1533-position model. The record is from RNAcentral.